AAAGGAAAAAAUGACAUCUGCCAUUCAGAAGAUGGUUUUCAACUUGCCCAGGAAAUUGACUACAACUUGUAAACUGUCAGUGUAAAUCCAAACGCACAUACAAGACAAAUAUCCACAACUGCAAGUGACAACAGUUACAGGCUAUACAAAAAUCAGUGCCAAUAACGAUCAUGGGGACUGAGCCAUUUGAAGUUGGAUGAAAGAUGAUCUGCAUCAUUGUGUUUAUGAUAAUGUGGAAAAGUACCAAUUGUUUUGAGAAUUGGUUCCACAGAUGUCAGUGAAAGAGACUUACGACUUAAUGUACAUGUUUUUGAACAGAACUAUUAAAAAGAAAAAUGGUGCAAAAUCAAUUGAAUCUGGUCACAAGAGAGAUGGAGACCUCGAGAGACAGAAAAAGAACAGACCAGGGAAUCACAGAUCCAUAUCAGAUAAUAAAAUUAAAUUGAAAAUUUAAAGUUUGAAUUUUAUGUUAU
Molecule: long non-coding RNA, 473 nt
Organism: Mytilus trossulus (common blue mussel)
Lineage: Eukaryota; Metazoa; Mollusca; Bivalvia; Mytilida; Mytilidae
Exons: 4
Source: RefSeq, a predicted model, not a curated record